Molecule: long non-coding RNA, 1509 nt
Filed under: Betta splendens (Siamese fighting fish)
Lineage: Eukaryota; Metazoa; Chordata; Actinopteri; Anabantiformes; Osphronemidae
Description: lncRNA (ENSBSLG00000007646.1)
Source: RNAcentral
GUCAAAGAUAUACACGUAUGUGCUAGGCUAAGCCGCCAUCUAGUGGAAGUAAAUCUGGCCGCCGCCAUCUUGGUUUCCUCGCGCACAACUAGAUGGCCUCGAUCACUUACAGACGCUUUCUCUCUAAGACAUCAUGCACAUUUUUAGAGAAUGUUCCCCUGACAAGGGAGAUCUCAGAGGUGAGUGGGACAAGAUAGAUUGUGUUUUAGCAUCUGAUUAAUGCUACCGACAGCUUCCAGCUGGCAUGCUAAUGCUACCGACAGCGUCCAGCUAACAUGCUAACGCUAACGGGCAUUUAGCAAAAGCAAAACAACUUGAUAAUAAUUAGAAAAUUUUAGAAAAAAACUUGACAGAAAUAUGCAGGUAAAGUAAGUAAACUUCUUUCUAAGCACAAUUUAGUUGGACUGGUCAGAAAAUACAAGUAAAAUGCACAAUUUUAGCUUAGCUGUAAAGUGACCAACCUCUCAGUCUGUUAGUUGGGUUGGAAAAAGAACUUUCUAGAUCUUUGCCCUAUUAGUAGCUAGGGGGAAUUCCAUGUCGCCAUGGUUAUAGCACCUGACCAAUUACAGACUGUAUCUGCCCAUGUUGUUGUCCUCACAUGCGCAUCAGUAAUUUUUAACUCACCAGAGCUUUUUGUUCUGCUGCAGCAAAGAAACUGGACCCACUUUAAACUGUUGCCUGAAUCUUUACUCAUGUUAAACGGGUUCAAUAAACAGGUUGUGUAGUGAAGUCGCCUCCAAUGACAUUGGAAAUGUGUGCUGGCAGCCUUCAAGCCUACAAGCCUAUCUUUGCACAAUUUUCCCCGAUUUUGACAACAAUGCACAGUUCUGCACUUCAUGUACAAAAAUUCCACCAUUUGAAACUCUGUUUCCGUGCAUGACCCCAGCACGUUCCUCAGGUCCUCAGGACCUUUAGCAUCAGAACCUACUGUACAUGAGAUCUGGAAGGCAGUCCACCAUUGAACAUGACAGCUCCACUUUUUAUCUUGGACUGUCCAAUCAACAUUCAGUGAAGACGUGUCUGAAGAUAGACCUGAAGGACAGAAAAAGUGAAGAUUCCUGCCAAUGGGCUGUCACAGGAACUGGAGAUUACCAGCAGCCGUCAGAAGCGUUUGAUCUUCAUGUCAUGCUCCUGGGCUGGCUUCACCAGCCUUUCUGUUUCCCUCACCAUGCCACGCCUCUGCUUUGGACCAUGCCCACUCCCUCGCCUUCCCUCAGUGAACUCCUGGCGAUCAGUCCAAUUUACCACACCUGUGCCUACCUUCAAAGACUCCCGCAGCCCGUCACUCGGCGCAGGGUCAUUGUCACUUCAUCUCUCCAUGCUGCUCAUGUCAUGUCAGCUGCUGCUUUUGAGUUUUUGUCUCCACUGCCUUCAUUGCAUCCACCAUUUCUCGUGUCACUACAGACAUGGACUAUUGAUGGAGACUGUUGCCGGUUAGUCACGCGUUGCUCGGAAUAUAAGACGUGUCUAUGGUUUAUGCUUUGGUUCUAUCCACGUUGUCCAUGUUAG